This 63-nucleotide transfer RNA is filed under the name Glycera fallax. Its description in RNAcentral is "tRNA-Leu". The record is from RNAcentral. Lineage: Eukaryota; Metazoa; Annelida; Polychaeta; Phyllodocida; Glyceridae.
AAUAGGUUGGCAGACUAGUGCAAUUGACUUAGGAUCAAUGUAUGUAAUUACUUUACACCUAUU